Non-coding RNA from Oryzias latipes (Japanese medaka), 2035 nucleotides. The record is from RefSeq and is a predicted model, not a curated record. NCBI's taxonomy places the organism in Eukaryota, Metazoa, Chordata, Actinopteri, Beloniformes, Adrianichthyidae.
UUGGAUUUGGUGUGCAUUCUAAGAAGACCUGGAGGGAUGUCUGGUAGAGAAGAGAAGAUGGAUGUGCAUCAUUUAUCCUCAGGAAACAGUGGGUUUCAGGCAGCAAAACGUUCCUGCUCCAGCAGUACCUGAAGAAGAAAGAGGCUCAGACUCAGAGCUCUUCAGAACCUGCUCUUCCUAAACCUUCUUCUAGUCUUCCAGUGUCUUCUUUAGAGAUGGAAGAUGAUGAAGAGUUGGAGAGAAUGAUGCUCUAUGUCUCUCCAUCCAAACUCCUCCCUUUACAAGAGCAGGGACAUGUAGUGAAGAAGAUGACAGGACCAACGUGUUUAGAAACAAUCCCAACCCAGCCAAGUUCACUGAGUAAAGGUCUAGCUGCUGCUGCUGCUGUCGCUGGUACCUGAUGGUUCUGUCGUAAACCAGGAUCACCUUUUCCUUUCCUCUGUUUGCUGGUUGGCCACGUUCUGUUCUAAUGCAGGUGUUUUGUGUGAUUGCUUUUGUGAUGCUGAAGGUAUUCAUUGUUCGUCGUUGAGGGUAAAUUCAGAAAUAUUUUAUUUGCAUGAGUUUCUCAUGAAAGUGAUUGAAAGAAACCAGUCUUAAAAAGCAGAAUUACAACAAAAGUACAUGUCUUAACACGUCAGAGUAAAGUGGUUACACAUGGAUUAUUACAUCAUAAUGGUACCUUUCCUGGUCAAUCAAAAUAUUAAAAAAGGAAAAUAAUUAUUCAUUUAUUGAUUUUCAUACCACACCUGUUCUAUUGAGCAUGUUUUCUUAGAUGGUUUUGAGUGUUUUGCACAAUUACUAACAAAGAACUCUAAAUACUUUGGGCUUUAGUGAUGGAUAUUUCUGUUGAUCUGAAUCCAGACCAGCCUGAGAAGUCCAGCUGUCCUGCUGCUACACAUGCAGUUUCUUCUGCUCCAGUGAAGACUCCUCUGCCAGUACCACCAGAGUUCCUCGCCUUGGAACUGCCUCAAAGUGUCCAGGAUAAAACCUACACAGUCGUUGGAAGACCCUCAGCUCAGUCUGCAGCUCCUCCUCCUGCUCACUUUCAGCCAACGCCUGCUGCUCCACCACUUCCAUGUUAUGACCAAGAUGUUAGAAGCUGGAACUGAUCUCCCCAGCAGAGUAUCUGGAUGAAAACAGAGAUGGAGGCCUUAGGACUGUGGCCCGGGUGUCCACCUGUGAGACCUGCAAUGAAUAUGAUCUGCUUGUGGCGUAUCCCACCUCAGAACAUCAUUUACCGUAAAACCUUUGGAGACCCAGCAGCUGUGGUAUAAACUCACUCAAGGAAGUGAAACUGUCACUGUGCCAGUUGUGACUCUCCCUCAUGCUUAAACCAGACGAAGCUCCUCUAACUCAGACCGACGUUGAAAUAAUGGUGAAGGAGAUUGUAGGUCUGCAGCAACAACAGCAGAAACCUGGAAAAAAGAUGAUACACAACUGUCUUGCUUGUGGGCAGCCUUGUUACUUUGAGGAUGGAUCUUCUGUUCAUUUAUCUGUCUGGGGAUGUAAAAUACCUCUACUGCUCCAAAAAGGUACACUAGAUCUAUGCAGCAGAAGUCCUUACCAACCCCAGAAUCCCAUUUGCAGACUUUGCUGUCAGUCCAUUUUUUGACAGAGAGUUAAAGGCUGCAUUCAUGGUCACACACUGAUUAUGAUAGAACUCCUGAUUUUAUCCUUCAAUGUGAAAAUAUUUGUAAUUUAGUUUGUGAAAUCUAUUUUGUGAAUACAAUUUUCUUACAGUUUUGUUCUUGAAUUGUUUAGAAAAAGCAACAAUAUUUACUUCUACCUCAAUUCAUUUUACAUCUUUAAAUUACUUGUAUUAAUUUUUGCAUAUUUAAAUCCUUCUGCCCUUUAAUUGUAGAUACAUGGUUGAACGUUUUGUGUUAAAUACUGUUUAUUUAUUUAUUGCUUGUUGAUAUCUUAAUAAAGCAUGGUUGAAAUUGAAAUGACUGUUUUUAGGCACAAGGAAAGAUGGAAGUAGAAAACAAUAAUUAUGAAAUGUCAUUUUCAGUUUAACAUUAAAACAUUUAUUAUA